UGACUGUGUGAAGAUAGCCAAUCUGCCUAU
RNAcentral lists this non-coding RNA (30 nucleotides) under Rattus norvegicus (Norway rat). Lineage: Eukaryota; Metazoa; Chordata; Mammalia; Rodentia; Muridae. The record is from RNAcentral.